This 375-nucleotide ribosomal RNA is filed under the name uncultured organism. RNAcentral's name for it is "partial 16S ribosomal RNA". It matches the Rfam family "Bacterial small subunit ribosomal RNA", at positions 527 to 896 of the family's 1533-position model. The record is from RNAcentral.
GUAGGUGGCAAGCGUUGUCCGGAAUUAUUGGGGCGUAAAGCGCGCGCAGGCGGUUCUUUAAGUCUGAUGUGAAAGCCCACGGGCUCAACCGUGGAGGGUCAUUGGAAACUGGAGAACUUGAGUACAGAAGAGGAAAGCGGAAUUCCACGUGUAGCGGUGAAAUGCGUAGAGAUGUGGAGGAACACCAGUGGCGAAGGCGGCUUUCUGGUCUGUAACUGACGCUGAGGCGCGAAAGCGUGGGGAGCAAACAGGAUUAGAUACCCUGGUAGUCCACGCCGUAAACGAUGAGUGCUAAGUGUUAGGGGGUUUCCGCCCCCUUAGUGCUGCAGCUAACGCAUUAAGCACUCCGCCUGGGGAGUACGGCCGCAAAGGCUG